RNAcentral lists this long non-coding RNA (1225 nucleotides) under Equus caballus (horse). Its description in RNAcentral is "lncRNA (ENSECAG00000036707.2)". The record is from RNAcentral. Lineage: Eukaryota; Metazoa; Chordata; Mammalia; Perissodactyla; Equidae.
AAGCUGGAAUGUCCUGGCAUGAGCUGGGAGCUACGAAGAUGGACUGAAACUUGGGUGAGUUCUUAUUGCCUUUGACCUUGAGGUUAUCCCUCAGAGGCUAGAAUCCUUUGUCUCAGAGCUAGGCCUACAUACUUGGUCCAGUAUUCAGGGGAAGUUGCAGUAAUUGCAAGCCCAGCAAUAGUCUCACAACAACAAGCCCACCCUAACCAGAAACAUGCAGGAAAUGGAAUUCAGUCUAGCUGCGAUGACACCUUAUAAAUCCAUCACAGUCUAUAAUCCCAUAUUCUGAGUGCAUGCUUCUUUUCACAUGAGUUGGACAAGAAGAGAUACAUGGUGCAAAGUAAAUUCAUUCUUUCUAAGGAAGAUACCAUCAUUUCAUGAUGCAAACUUUACCUCCUUUACUGUUGAGAGGCCACCUCCCUGUAGCAUUUUGGGCUGAUCCUGGUGGUUUCAGCCACAUGGGGGCAACCAAGUUUCUACCCCCUAUCUGAGGAGUUUAUACAAAUAUCACCAGCAAAGGGCUAUGAAGAAGUGAAUAUUCCCUGGAGUUCUGGACCUGCAGAGCACAGGUCACUAUGACAAAAACCAUGGGCCUAAAGCCGUCAGACACAGCUACCAGAGAGGAGGCUGGGCUCCUUUCUGGGAGGAGAAAAUGGAAGUCUCUCUCCUGGCCAUCCUGAACCUCUGUCAUCACUCUAUCACAGCCCGUGAUUAGCCUGGUUCUCCCAGCCUCCGGGAUCAUGGAGCCGCUGUUCCUCCUUUCUAGAUGGCCUGUCUUUGUUUCCGAUUUGAACCUCAUUCUGGUCCUCCACCUGCACUUCCUCACAGCUUCUCCAGAUUCCUUUACAUUGCAUUUUGGCUCUCAGCUAGGUUUGCAACUCCUCCCAAUUUAGAAACAUCUGAAAAUUUAAUUAGCAGGCGGUUGUCUCCCUCUUCCACAUAAUUAAUGAAGAUGUUAAAAUAAAACUGGAUUAAGAAUUUAUUACACUAUAAUUUGCAAAUCAUUGCCACAGUUACUAGAUAAGCUCUAACAAGGCAGGAGGGAGCAACUUGAAAGGGGCAAGGGGAUCUAAGCCAUCAUUGUCCUUAACUCUAAGCCAAAGGCAGUAUGGCACAGACGAGAGAGUUCGGGCUGGGAGUCAGGAGCCAGGGUACCCAUCAGGAAUCUGUCACUAACUAGGAGAAAUUCCCUCAUGAUAAUCCAUCCCUAAAUCCCAAGAAGCAC